AUGACAGCAAGGGGAGAGACCUGACCGAAAACCUCGGGAUACAGGCGCCGAAGGAGCAAACUGCGGAGUGAAUCUCUCAGGCAAAAGAACUCUUGCUCGACG
Regulatory RNA element from Bacillus subtilis subsp. subtilis str. 168, 102 nucleotides. It matches the Rfam family "Glycine riboswitch aptamer". From Rfam's summary of the family: This family represents the bacterial glycine riboswitch. The record is from Rfam. Lineage: Bacteria; Bacillati; Bacillota; Bacilli; Caryophanales; Bacillaceae.